Molecule: unclassified non-coding RNA, 314 nt
Filed under: Donghicola eburneus
Lineage: Bacteria; Pseudomonadati; Pseudomonadota; Alphaproteobacteria; Rhodobacterales; Roseobacteraceae
Description: Long range pseudoknot
Source: RNAcentral
ACCCACGACUACGACGUGAAAAUGCGCAACGUUCUCAAGUUCCUGGAGAAGGGCGAUAAGGUCAAAGUGACCCUGCGCUUCCGUGGCCGCGAGAUGGCUCACCAGAACCUCGGCCGCGAACUCCUUGAGCGGGUCGCCGCUGACGUGAAGGAACUGGGCAAGGUCGAGAAUAUGCCGAAGAUGGAAGGUCGCCAGAUGAUCAUGGUGAUCGGUCCGCUUCCCAAGUAAUCGGAUUUCCGGUUCAAAGAAUGCGAGCGCGUCCUUUUGGGGCGCGCUUUUUUCUUUUUUUAUGGCGGCGUUGAUGGCCGCGCCGU